GGACUACCCGGGUUUCUAAUCCCGUUUGCUCCCCUGGCUUUCGUGUCUCAGCGUCGGCACAACCCCAGCAACCUGUUUUCACCUUUGGCGUUCCAAGCGAUAUCUACGCAUUUCACCGCUCCACCGCUUGUUCCAGUUGCCCCUAGUUGGCCCAAGAUCGCCAGUAUGCCCAGCAGUUCCACGGGUGAGCCGUGGGAUUUCACAAGACACUUAACGAUCCGCCUACACACGCUUUAAGCCCAGUGAUUCCGCCUAACGCUUGAGGCCUCUGUCUUACCGCGGCUGCUGGCAC
This 292-nucleotide ribosomal RNA is filed under the name uncultured bacterium. RNAcentral's name for it is "partial 16S ribosomal RNA". The record is from RNAcentral.